AUGAUGGCGAGAUUCGCCAGUCUAGCGAUCCUUUAUCUGAUCUCUCAUCUACUGCUGCGCUCCUCUGCAGCACCAUCGGUACAGCACACGCUGGGCACCGGGUCGUCCCUGUCGGUGGAAGACCACGAGCGGCCGUUCCUGGUGUCACAGGACGCCACCUUCUCUUGCGGCUUCCUCCAGGCCGGCGACAAUGCCUUCUACUUCUCCGUCUGGUUCACCGCCGCCAAGAACCGGACCGCCGUCUGGACGGCCAACCCUGGCGCCCCGGUGAACGGCCGGGUUUCCAGCAUAUCCUUCAGCCCCGAAGGCCAGCUGGCUCUGGCCGAUGCCAACGGGACAACUGUGUGGAACAGCAAGACUGGCGGCAAGAGGCACCUCACCGUCUCCCUCCGCGACACCGGGAAUCUUCUCAUCGCCGACCCGUCAACCGGCCGCGCCGUCUGGCAGAGCUUCGACUGGCCGACGGACACCCUGCUCCCGUCGCAGACGCUGUCCAAGGACAAGAAGCUCGUCGCCGGCUACUACGCCCUCUACUACGACAACGACAACGUGCUGCGCCUCCUGUACGACGGCCCGGAGAUCGCCAGCAUCUACUGGCCGAACCCGGACCAUAACGUGUUCGACAACGGCCGGACAAACUACAACAGCUCACGGGUCGGCGUCCUCGACCACACCGGCGUGUUCCUCUCCAGCGACAACCUGCGAGUCGAGGCCUCCGACCUGGGCGCCGCCAGCGUCAAGAGACGGCUAACUAUCGAGCAAGACGGAAACGUGAGGAUCUACAGCCUGAACGCGGCCGGAGGAACGGUCACGUGGGCGGCGCUAAAGCAGCCGUGCUCCGUGCACGGGCUGUGCGGCAAGAACGCCCUCUGCGAAUACCAACCGUCCCUCCGAUGCUCGUGCGCGCCGGGGUACGAGAUGGUCGACCGCCAGGACUGGAGAAAGGGCUGCAAGCCAACGUUCAGCCUCCCCACCGGAACCACCAACUGCAGCGAAGCUCCGGCGUCGGAGCGGUUCACGUUCGUCCAGGUGGCAGCAACCGACUUCUACGGCUACGACCUCGGCUUCAACCAGUCCGUCACCUUCGAAUACUGCAAGAGCAUGUGCUUGAAGAUGUGCUCCUGCGCCGCCUUCGCCUACAGGUUGGAUGGCCGGGGCAAUUGCUUCCCAAAAGGCGUCCUGUUCAACGGCUACACGUCGCCGGCGUUCCCCGGAAGCAUAUAUCUCAAGGUGCGUAGCGAUCUCAACCUCAACGCCACCGCGCCGCAGCUGUCGGUACAUGCCACGGGCCUCGCCUGCAAUCGUAACGGUUCUCGUACCGCCCCCACGAUACGCGGACACGUACGGACACCUAGCGGCGGCACAAAAUGGUCCUACUUUUUUGCGUUCGCCGCGGUGCUUGGAUUUCUGGAGCUUCUAAUCGUCGCCGCGGCGUGGUGGUUCCUGUCCAGCCAGGAGAGCAUACCCAGCUCGCUGCAGGCAGGAUACAGGCUGGUCAUGGCGACCCAGUUCAGGAGGUUCACGUACCGGGAGCUCAAGGACGCGACUGGGAACUUCAACGAGGAGCUCGGCCGCGGCGGCUCCGGCGUGGUGUACCGCGGCGUGCUUGAUAAGACCACCGUGGUGGCGGUGAAGAAGCUGACAAACGUGGUGCAGGGCGAGGAGGAGUUCUGGGAGGAGAUGACGGUGUUCGGGAGGAUCAACCACAUCAACCUGGUGAGGAUCUGGGGGUUCUGCUCCGAGGGAAAGCACAAGUUGCUGGUGUACGAGUACGUGGAGAAUGAGUCACUGGACAGGCACCUGUUCGGCAAGGACAUUGGCAAGUCACUGGCGUGGAGCGAGCGGUUCAAGAUCGCGUUGGGCACGGCCAGGGGCCUAGCCUACCUUCACCAUGAGUGCCUCGAGUGGGUCAUCCACUGCGACGUCAAGCCGGAGAAUAUCCUGCUCACGCGCGACCUCGACGCAAAGAUCGCCGACUUUGGGCUAGCCAAGCUGUCCGGAAGAAACCCCAUAGGCAAUGGCGACGUCGCCGACACCGGCGUGCAGCUCUCCCACAUGAGGGGGACGAUGGGGUACAUGGCACCGGAGUGGGCGCUGGGCUUGCCGGUCGACGCCAAGGUCGAUGUGUACAGUUACAGCAUUGUGCUUCUGGAGAUCGUGAUUGGGAGCAGGAUCUCUGACCAGACGACCACGGACGGCGCGGAGCGGCUAGAGAUGUGGCAGAUCGCGCAGGCACUGAAGCAGGUGGUGGCGAGUGGAGACAUCAUGUCAUUAGUGGAUAACAGGCUGAACGGGCAGUUCAACCCUCGGCAGGCCAUGGAAAUGGUGAAGAUUUCCUUAUCGUGCAUGGAGGAGAGGAGCAACAGGCCGACCAUGGAUGACAUCUCCAAAGCUCUUACAGCGUGCGAUGACGAGGAUGAGCACCCUGCGUACUUAUCGUGA
Molecule: ribosomal RNA, 2442 nt
Filed under: Triticum aestivum (bread wheat)
Lineage: Eukaryota; Viridiplantae; Streptophyta; Magnoliopsida; Poales; Poaceae
Description: partial small subunit ribosomal RNA
Source: RNAcentral